Molecule: long non-coding RNA, 1701 nt
Organism: Peromyscus eremicus (cactus mouse)
Lineage: Eukaryota; Metazoa; Chordata; Mammalia; Rodentia; Cricetidae
Exons: 3
Source: RefSeq, a predicted model, not a curated record
GCCUAGUUCCCAGCCUUUUGGAAGUCUCCAAGCUUCUGCUCUUCCCCCUCUGCCCCCUAGUCCAAAGAUCUUUGCUCUCUUGCCCUGGGUUAGAAGUUGCCCUGCAGAUAUGGUUUUGGCAUUACUUAGUGUUUCCCUUUGGCCCCUCAUUUCUCCAAGCCUGCCAAUCAGUUCUCCGCCUGGAGAUGCUAUUCAUACCUGAAAAAGGAGAAAGAUGCGAUCUUAUGGGAAAGUUGCCAAACCACAUUGAGUCCCACGCCUGCUGUUUGAGUCAUCAUAAAAUACGAAUGCACCAGUCUGUGCUAAUGACGGCCUUGAAAUCAAGCAACAUGGCUGUGCAUGCAUUUAACACGCAAUAGAAAAGUAAUGAAGAGAGAAGAUGGUACCAGGAAGUGGGCUAUUGCUGUGACAGACCUGACUACUUUGAGGAAUGUGGAAGACUUUGGGAUCUUGGACUAGGAAAGUAUUGAAGACAAUAGCAUGUAGACUAUAGAGGCCCAGACUGAGAGGUUUCAAAGGCAUAUGUUAGCAACUGGGCUAGACACCAUUCUUGUGACAUUUUUUGCAACGAAUGUAGCUGCUGCUUUUUGUCCCCGUCCUAAGAAUUUGCCUGAUGCUAAAUUGAAAAGUAAUGGACUAAGUUCUUUGGUGGAGGAGAUUUUAAGGAAGCCUAAUAUUGACUUUAUUACAUGGUUGGCCAUUGCUCUUAUGCAGGUCUACAAUGGAAAAGAGCAGGUAGGACAAAGAUAUACAAAGUAUACAGUUUGAGGGGGAAAGGGGCCCCAGGAAAUUUAAUGCUGGAGCCAAGGCUUGUGCUGGGAGAGAGAAGGAGGUUAAGGAGAGGCCUGGUCUGUACUGAAAUAAACGAAAGGGGCCUCAGGACAAGACCAGAUAACCUUUAACUUGUGAGAAGAAAAGGCCUAAGGGAAUGGCAGGAGUUUUCUUUUUCUACCAAGACCCGAGAAAUGAAAGCUGCUGCAAAUAUGGUUCAAGGGGGCCAGCAUCCAUCAAUCAUACAGCAGAACUUGGCAACAUUGCCCACACGGCUCCGGCUGUGGAGUCAUGAAGAAUACAGGAGUAAAGCAGUCAUGGAUCUUCCUUCAUGUCUAAAGAAAGCUACAGAGGCCAGGCAUAUGGCAGGAGGGAGUCCCUGCAUGGAGGCCCUAAAAGGUCAUUGCAUGAUGUUGUUGAUAUUUUUGCUCUUUGGGGGGACCCACCACCCAGUUCCCAAAUAAUCACACAUAGAGGCUUAUUCUUACUUAUAAAUGCCCAGCUAGCUUGGCUUGUUUCUUGCCAACUUUUCUUUUUUCUUUUUGGUUUUUUUGAGACAGGGUUUCUCUGUGUAGUUUUGGUGCCUAUCCUAGAUCUUGCUCUGUAGACCAGGCUGGCCUUGAAUUCACAGAGAUCUACCUGCCUCUGCCUCCCGAGAGCUGGGAUUAAAGGUAUGCACCACCACCACCAGGCCUUGCCAGCUUUUCUUAACCAAUAGUAUCCCAUUAAUCUUUGUCCUCUGGGCUUUUCCUUUUCUAUUCCUGUAUUCCUUUCUUUGUUUCUUUCUCUCUGGCUUGCUGUAUAGCUGGGUGGCUGGCCCUUGAAAUACUCCUUCUUCUCUCAUUCCUUGAUCUUUCUUCAAGUCAAGGCAAGCAUUCAAGUAGGCACCUGACAUAGAAACUAUGGAGAAAAUACUGCUUGCUGGCUCAC